CGGCCUAACAUGGAAAAGGAUUGAAUGGAAUAUGUAGCCCCACCGUCCAUUAAAAUCCUACAGUUAACCAAGAACAAUAUCAUUACCAAACCACAAAGGCACGCAUUAUGGUUUCAUAUUUACAGAACAAAACGUGGUUGUCCCUUUUCUUUCGGCUUGGCAACAAAGUGUGGUUUUACCAUGAUCAUGUUUUUCAGGCAAAAGAUAAAUCGGUGUUGAGUGAAAGGACGUCAAGACUAGAAAGAAAAGGGCAAUCCACACUAACACAAAUGAUUUCAUCUAACUUUAGA
RNAcentral lists this unclassified non-coding RNA (290 nucleotides) under Hevea brasiliensis (rubber tree). The record is from RNAcentral. Lineage: Eukaryota; Viridiplantae; Streptophyta; Magnoliopsida; Malpighiales; Euphorbiaceae.